UACAGAGGUGGCAAGCGUUGUUCGGAAUUACUGGGCGUAAAGGGCGCGUAGGCGGCCAUCUAAGUCAGACGUGAAAUCCCCCGGCUUAACCUGGGAACUGCGUCUGAUACUGGACGGCUUGAGUGCGGGAGAGGGAUGUGGAAUUCCAGGUGUAGCGGUGAAAUGCGUAGAUAUCAGGAGGAACACCGGUGGCGAAGGCGGGUCUCUGGGCAGUAACUGACGCUGAGGAGCGAAAGCGUGGGGAGCGAACAGG
RNAcentral lists this ribosomal RNA (253 nucleotides) under uncultured bacterium. Its description in RNAcentral is "partial 16S ribosomal RNA". It matches the Rfam family "Bacterial small subunit ribosomal RNA", at positions 524 to 776 of the family's 1533-position model. The record is from RNAcentral.